GUGUCAGCAGCCGCGGUAAUACGUAGGCAGCGAGCGUUGUUCGGAGUUACUGGGCGUAAAGGGUGCGUAGGCGGUUUUCCAAGUUUGGUGUGAAAUCUCCCGGCUCAACUGGGAGGGUGCGCCGAAAACUAGGGAACUGGAGUACCGGAGAGGUAAGCGGAAUUCCUGGUGUAGCGGUGAAAUGCGUAGAGAUCAGGAGGAACACCUGUGGUGUAGACAGCUUACUGGACGGUCACUGACGCUGAGGCACGAAAGCGUGGGUAGCAAACAGGAUUAGAUACCCUAGUAGUCC
RNAcentral lists this ribosomal RNA (292 nucleotides) under uncultured bacterium. RNAcentral's name for it is "partial 16S ribosomal RNA". It matches the Rfam family "Bacterial small subunit ribosomal RNA", at positions 505 to 796 of the family's 1533-position model. The record is from RNAcentral.